GAUGAACGCUGGCGGCGUGCCUAAUACAUGCAAGUCGAGCGAACAGACGAGGAGCUUGCUCCUCUGACGUUAGCGGCGGACGGGUGAGUAACACGUGGAUAACCUACCUAUAAGACUGGGAUAACUUCGGGAAACCGGAGCUAAUACCGGAUAAUAUAUUGAACCGCAUGGUUCAAUAGUGAAUGACGGUUUUGCUGUCACUUAUAGAUGGAUCCGCGCCGCAUUAGCUAGUUGGUAAGGUAACGGCUUACCAAGGCAACGAUGCGUAGCCGACCUGAGAGAGUGAUCGGCCACACGGGAACUGAGACACGGACCAGACGCCUGCGAGAGGCAGCAGUAGGGAAUCGGCCGCAAUGGGCGAAAGCCUGACGGAGCAACGCCGCGUGAGUGAUGUAGGUCUUCGGAGCGUAAUACUCUGUUAUGAGGGAAGAACAAAUGUGUAAGUAACUAUGCACGUCUUGACGGUACCUGAUCAGAAAGCCACGGCUAACUACGUG
Molecule: ribosomal RNA, 497 nt
Filed under: uncultured bacterium
Lineage: Bacteria
Description: partial 16S ribosomal RNA
Rfam family: Bacterial small subunit ribosomal RNA
Source: RNAcentral